Molecule: ribosomal RNA, 433 nt
Filed under: uncultured bacterium
Lineage: Bacteria
Description: partial 16S ribosomal RNA
Rfam family: Bacterial small subunit ribosomal RNA
Source: RNAcentral
AACGAACGCUGGCGGCAUGCCUAACACAUGCAAGUCGAACGAGACCUUCGGGUCUAGUGGCGCACGGGUGCUUAACGCGUGGGAACCUGCCCUUAGGUUCGGAAUAACUCCCCGAAAGGGGUGCUAAUACCGGAUAAUGUCUUCGGACCAAAGAUUUAUCGCCUUUGGAUGGGCCCGCGUUGGAUUAGCUAGUUGGUAGGGUAAAAGCCUACCAAGGCGACGAUCCAUAGCUGGUCUGAGAGGAUGAUCAGCCACACUGGGACUGAGACACGGCCCAGACUCCUACGGGAGGGAGGAGUGGGGAAUAUUGGACGAUGGGCGAAGGCCUGAUCCAGCAAUGCCGGGUGAGUGAUGAAGGCCUUAGGGUUGUAAAGCUCUUUUAGCCGGGAUGAUAAUGACAGUACCGGGAGAAUAAGCACCGGCUAACUCCGUG